CAGAGUUGCAAAACUCCCUAAACCAUUGUGAACGUUACCUACAACCGUUGCUUCGGCGGGCGCUCCCGGGUUCAUCCCCGGGCGCCCUGGCCCAGCGCGUGCGCCCCGAGUCUCCAAACUCUUAUAACUUAUGUCUCAUCUGAGUACUCUUACUUAAUAAGUCA
This 164-nucleotide unclassified non-coding RNA is filed under the name soil metagenome. Its description in RNAcentral is "partial internal transcribed spacer 1". The record is from RNAcentral.